AUUGAACGCUAGCGGUAUUCUUUAAUCAUGCAAGUCGAACGAGUGGCGGACGGCUGAGUAACAUUUCGGAACGUGCCCAGUCGAGGGGGAUAAUUACUUGCAAGAGUGGCUAAUACCGCAUAAUAUUGGAGCGGCCGAUAUCGGAUUAGCGAGUGGGGGGGGUAAAGGCUCACCAAGGCAACGAUCCGUAGCUGGUUUGAGAGGACGACCAGCCACACUGGGACUGAGACACGGCCCAGACUCCUACGGGAGGCAGCAGUGGGGAAUUUUGGACAAUGGGGGAAACCCUGAUCCAGCCAUCCCGCGUGUAUGAGAAGGCCUUCGGGUUGUAAAGUACUUUUGGCAGAGAAGCGGUAUCUGCAGAAUAAGCACCGGCUAACUACGUGCCAGCAGCCGCGGUAAUAC
This 405-nucleotide ribosomal RNA is filed under the name uncultured bacterium. RNAcentral describes it as "partial 16S ribosomal RNA". It matches the Rfam family "Bacterial small subunit ribosomal RNA", at positions 30 to 526 of the family's 1533-position model. The record is from RNAcentral.